Molecule: ribosomal RNA, 631 nt
Filed under: uncultured bacterium
Lineage: Bacteria
Description: bacterial SSU rRNA
Rfam family: Bacterial small subunit ribosomal RNA
Source: RNAcentral
UGCAGUCGAACGGUAACAUUUCUAGCUUGCUAGAAGAUGACGAGUGGCGGACGGGUGAGUAAUACUUAGGAAUAUGCCUUUGUGUGGGGGAUAACUAUUGGAAACGAUAGCUAAUACCGCAUAACGUCUUCGGACCAAAGAGGGCUUUCGGGCUCUCGCGCAAAGAGUGGCCUAAGUGAGAUUAGCUUGUUGGUGAGGUAAAGGCUCACCAAGGCGACGAUCUCUAGCUGUUCUGAGAGGAAGAUCAGCCACACUGGGACUGAGACACGGCCCAGACUCCUACGGGAGGCAGCAGUGGGGAAUAUUGCACAAUGGGGGCAACCCUGAUGCAGCCAUGCCGCGUGUGUGAAGAAGGCCUUCGGGUUGUAAAGCACUUUCAGUUGUGAGGAAAGGUUGGUGGUUAAUACCCAUCAGCUGUGACGUUAGCAACAGAAGAAGCACCGGCUAACUCCGUGCCAGCAGCCGCGGUAAUACGGAGGGUGCGAGCGUUAAUCGGAAUUACUGGGCGUAAAGCGCACGCAGGCGGUUAUAUAAGCUAGAUGUGAAAGCCCCGGGCUCAACCUGGGAAUAGCAUUUAGAACUGUAUGACUAGAGUCUUGGAGAGGGGAGUGGAAUUCCAGGUGUAGCGGUG